Molecule: ribosomal RNA, 467 nt
Filed under: uncultured bacterium
Lineage: Bacteria
Description: partial 16S ribosomal RNA
Rfam family: Bacterial small subunit ribosomal RNA
Source: RNAcentral
ACGCACGCUGGCGGCGUGCUUCACACCUGCCAGUCGCACGGAAAGGCCCUGCUUUUGUGGGGUGCUCGAGUGGCGAACGGGUGAGUAACACGUGAGUAACCUGCCCUUGACUUUGGGAUAACUUCAGGAAACUGGGGCUAAUACCGGAUAGGAGCUCCUGCUGCAUGGUUGGGGUUGGAAAGUUUCGGCGGUUGGGGAUGGACUCGCGGCUUAUCAGCUUGUUGGUGGGGUAGUGGCUUACCAAGGCUUUGACGGGUAGCCGGCCUGAGAGGGUGACCGGCCACAUUGGGACUGAGAUACGGCCCAGACUCCUACGGGAGGCAGCAGUGGGGAAUAUUGCACAAUGGGCGGAAGCCUGAUGCAGCAACGCCGCGUGCGGGAUGACGGCCUUCGGGUUGUAAACCGCUUUCGCCUGUGACGAAGCGUGAGUGACGGUAAUGGGUAAAGAAGCACCGGCUAACUACGUG